GAAAGGAAGGGCUACAGUGGAUGAAGAGGCAGCUGAUCUGGACUGGAAUGAGUCCCCCCUUUCUCUUAUGCAAACUUCUGGACCAUGAACAGCUCCCUUAAAAGGACCAAGAGAGAGGGGACCCCCACCAAAGUGCUGGACUGGGUUCUUAAAGGGGCCACCUGAAGCAGGACUUUUUCCCACACUGAAGUCACCAACUGACAGCAGAAACAGGUCCCCCAUCUUUGGGAUAUCUCCCAGUUCUGUCUUUUACUUUCCUUUCAUUUUUGGAAUUGUGGCACCACUCUCUGGCAGUGGACAGGAAGAUCAGAGAAAGAGAAUGAGUUCCAGGACACCAGCGUUCAGCCAAGUCAGGCGGAUGGGUGAAGCAGGAGGGUGUCAGAGACUUGGGUGCUCCUGUCUUGGAACGGGGUAUCUAGGGAGCAGGUGGGAAGGAAUUGUAGCUCCUGGCUUCUUUAUCUGAGGCGAAGAGAAGCUCUGCUUUAGCCGUCUUUGCAGGGCACUGCUGGAUUAAUGGUUCACUUUGCUGCGUUCCAAAAAUACUUUAUUUACAAGCACUGAAAUUUGAAUUUCAUAUAAUAUUGUGUCUCAAAGUAUUCUUUUAUUUUUUUUCAACUAUUAAAAAAAGAUAGCAGGACAGAUUUGUCCCAGAGGCUAUAGUUUGCUAACCCUUGCUUUAAAUUUCCAGAGGCCAUUCUAUCCCUUUCUUCUCCUUGAAGAGGACAACUUUGUCAGGGCUCAUCAGGGUCUCAAAGGACAGAAAAGCACUCAUUUCUUCUUGCUCUUCUUGCUCUGGUUGCAUACACUUUUCCAUCAGAAGUGGUGUGUAACUGUUGCCAUCAUAGUUAUGUUAGUGUCAGCCCAUGGGUUAUUUAUUGUCUUUCUCUAAGAGAAAACAGUAGGUGACCAUCAUAUGAUGCCUAUUUCUGCUUCUAUCUUGGGCCUCCUGCCUCUCCCAGUAGAAUGUCUAAGAAAUCUUUGAUGACCAGUGCAAUCUGUGGAGGUUAUACACUUGGAGGAAGGGACAGCACACGCUGAUGGUUUGCAGUGGUGGGAAGACCAUCUGAUCCAGAGGCAGGAAGAUAAGUAAAAUGACUUCUUAGAGCCCCUUCCUGCUUUCCCAGCUCCCCUCCCCCAUCUCAAGCAUCUGAUCCCAGACCUAUUUCAGAAUCUCCUAUCUCUUUGCUCAGUGGAAGCAGUGAUAUGACAUGAUGUGAUCUCAUUUGAGGGCUAAAUAAAGCCAUUGUGUGAGACCCAGCCCUGGCCUCUCCCCUGCACCAUUUCCUGAGCUCAAGAGGCUAAGGGAAAAUGGGAGGGGGGCUAGGAGAGUUAAUCUAAUGGAAAAAGAAGCAACACGAUGAUGGGACCCCCAGUUUGAAUUUCAGACAGUGGAGGAGGGAAUAUUGCUAGGAGGGAGUUGAGGAAGCCUUGUUAAACCUCAUCUCUUUGAGGGACAGAAUAAAAAGUAUUGGCAUCAUAGCAUAGGCAGGGUUAGUGGGUGGGGAUGAGGAUGUGAGGGAGAAACUGCCAGACAGAUUCCAUUUUCACAGAGGGCAGAGACCAUGAAUGAAAUGACAGAGAUGCUGGAAAAAGGGUAGAUCUUUGAGAAGAGGUCAGACUCCAGUUGGUCUGAGCUGGAGGAAGAAGGGUGAACAGUUACACAAAGAUCUUAAGAUCUGAGGUACCUGUCAGUGGGGCCAGGGUGAGUUUCACAAAGAUCUUAAGAUCUGAGGUACCUGUCAAUGGGGCCAGGGUGACAGGACACCAUCUCUAGCAGGAACAUCCACACAGACAGAAGAAAAGCAAAGGUCUCCAGUUCACUGCACUUCCUUCAUCUUGCCAAAUUCAACCCUGCAGGCUGGGCGCAGUGGCUCACAUCUGUAAUCCCAGCACUUCGGGAAGCUGAGGCAGGAGGAUCGCCUGGGCCCAGGAGUUUGAGACCAGGCUAGGCAACAUAGUGAGACCCCAUCGCUAUAAAAAAUUUAAGACCAGGUGCAGUGGCUCCACUCACUAGACUCUGAUUCCUUGAGGAUAGGAACAAUAUCUAUUUCUCUUUGCUUGGCUUUCUGCUAUAUAAGUCCUCAGUAAAUGGAAUAAGAAGGAGACAAUGAGGAUCUCUUUAUGUACUAGAAAGGACACUGAACUGGGAUCCAGAAAACCUAAGUUCUAGCCUUGAGUCUGCAGCUAAUUCACAAUGUGACCCUGAGGUCACAAUGUGUCACAAUGUGACCCUGAGGUCACAAUGUGUAGGCACUCCUAAGUCCAGCUGACUGUGACACACUUCUAGUCCCAAGGUUUCAGAGUUCUAGAACCCUGCUCACUCUUAUUUCCUGCUGACGCAGACUGGUCUGUGUGUGUCUCCCACGAACAGAGCCGUCCCAGACGUGUUCUGAGCAGGUGGAGACAAGGUGCCCGUGAGGCCACACUGGCCUCUGCCUUUCUGCAGUUGAAUCCAGAGAACAACUGGAGGAAGAAGAGAUGGGGAAAUAAAGGAGGGGAAUGGCUCGCAUGCUGUACCCCUCCAAAGGUCAGGGGCUUUCCGGGCCCACGGCCGAAAACAAAGACGUCUUCAGAAGACAUAGUUGGGGGCCUGGCAGGGAGCUCGAGGGCCCACUGAAUACAGGAGGAGACUGCAAGCAUCGGGAUGCCCAGGCCCCAAGGAGGCCCUCUUCCUGCAGAUCCGAGAAGGACUGGACACCUUUCUGGGACUGCAGCACCAGGGUGGCUACGCCUCCCGGCUG
Molecule: long non-coding RNA, 2741 nt
Filed under: Homo sapiens (human)
Lineage: Eukaryota; Metazoa; Chordata; Mammalia; Primates; Hominidae
Description: non-protein coding lnc-ARHGEF2-1:2
Source: RNAcentral